RNAcentral lists this ribosomal RNA (468 nucleotides) under uncultured bacterium. Its description in RNAcentral is "partial 16S ribosomal RNA". It matches the Rfam family "Bacterial small subunit ribosomal RNA", at positions 28 to 507 of the family's 1533-position model. The record is from RNAcentral.
GAUGAACGCUGACAGAAUGCUUAACACAUGCAAGUCCACUUGAAUUUGGGUUUUUUAACUUAGAUUUGGGUGGCGGACGGGUGAGUAACGCGUAAAGAACUUGCCUCACAGCUAGGGACAACAUUUGGAAACGAAUGCUAAUACCUGAUAUUAUGAUUAUAAGGCAUCUUAGAAUUAUGAAAGCUAUAUGCGCUGUGAGAGAGCUUUGCGUCCCAUUAGCUAGUUGGAGAGGUAACGGCUCACCAAGGCGAUGAUGGGUAGCCGGCCUGAGAGGGUGAACGGCCACAAGGGGACUGAGACACGGCCCUUACUCCUACGGGAGGCAGCAGUGGGGAAUAUUGGACAAUGGACCAAGAGUCUGAUCCAGCAAUUCUGUGUGCACGAUGAAGUUUUUCGGAAUGUAAAGUGCUUUCAGUUGGGAAGAAAAAAAUGACGGUACCAACAGAAGAAGUGACGGCUAAAUACGUG